This is a non-coding RNA of Mycena galopus ATCC 62051, 97 nucleotides long. Lineage: Eukaryota; Fungi; Basidiomycota; Agaricomycetes; Agaricales; Mycenaceae. The record is from the annotation of a GenBank genome assembly.
GGGCAUAUGGUGUAGUUGGUUAUCACGCUCGCUUAGCACUGUGUCUAGGCCCGAAGUUCCAUGCGAGAGGUCUUCGGUUCAACUCCGAAUAUGUCCA